GGGGAAUAUUGCACAAUGGGCGCAAGCCUGAUGCAGCCAUGCCGCGUGUGUGAAGAAGGCCUUCGGGUUGUAAAGCACUUUCAGCGGGGAGGAAGGCGAUAAGGUUAAUAACCUUGUCGAUUGACGUUACCCGCAGAAGAAGCACCGGCUAACUCCGUGCCAGCAGCCGCGGUAAUACGGAGGGUGCAAGCGUUAAUCGGAAUUACUGGGCGUAAAGCGCACGCAGGCGGUCUGUCAAGUCGGAUGUGAAAUCCCCGGGCUCAACCUGGGAACUGCAUUCGAAACUGGCAGGCUAGAGUCUUGUAGAGGGGGGUAGAAUUCCAGGUGUAGCGGUGAAAUGCGUAGAGAUCUGGAGGAAUACCGGUGGCGAAGGCGGCCCCCUGGACAAAGACUGACGCUCAGGGGCGAAAGCGUGGGGAGCAAAC
This 425-nucleotide ribosomal RNA is filed under the name uncultured bacterium. RNAcentral describes it as "bacterial SSU rRNA". It matches the Rfam family "Bacterial small subunit ribosomal RNA", at positions 356 to 773 of the family's 1533-position model. The record is from RNAcentral.